This 761-nucleotide ribosomal RNA is filed under the name uncultured Prevotella sp. RNAcentral describes it as "bacterial SSU rRNA". It matches the Rfam family "Bacterial small subunit ribosomal RNA", at positions 28 to 776 of the family's 1533-position model. The record is from RNAcentral. Lineage: Bacteria; Pseudomonadati; Bacteroidota; Bacteroidia; Bacteroidales; Prevotellaceae.
GAUGAACGCUGGCUACAGGCUUAACACAUGCAAGUCGAGGGGAAACGGCAUUGGGUGCUUGCACCGAAUGGACGUCGACCGGCGCACGGGUGAGUAACGCGUAUCCAACCUUCCCGUUACUGCGGGAUAACCUGCCGAAAGGCAGACUAAUACCGCAUGUUCUUCGAUGACGGCAUCAGAUUCGAAGCAAAGAUCCGUCGGUAACGGAGGGGGAUGCGUCUGAUUAGCUUGUUGGCGGGGCGACGGCCCACCAAGGCGACGAUCAGUAGGGGUUCUGAGAGGAAGGUCCCCCACAUUGGAACUGAGACACGGUCCAAACUCCUACGGGAGGCAGCAGUGAGGAAUAUUGGUCAAUGGGCGGAAGCCUGAACCAGCCAAGUAGCGUGCAGGAUGACGGCCCUACGGGUUGUAAACUGCUUUUAUGCGGGGAUAAAGUGAGGGACGCGUCCCUUUUUGCAGGUACCGCAUGAAUAAGGACCGGCUAAUUCCGUGCCAGCAGCCGCGGUAAUACGGAAGGUCCGGGCGUUAUCCGGAUUUAUUGGGUUUAAAGGGAGCGUAGGCCGGGGAUUAAGUGUGUUGUGAAAUGUAGGCGCCCAACGUCUGACUUGCAGCGCAUACUGGUUCCCUUGAGUACGCGCAACGCCGGCGGAAUUCGUCGUGUAGCGGUGAAAUGCUUAGAUACGACGAAGAACCCCGAUUGCGAAGGCAGCCGGCGGGAGCGCAACUGACGCUGAAGCUCGAAGGUGCGGGUAUCGAACAGG